RNAcentral lists this non-coding RNA (227 nucleotides) under Roseburia sp. RNAcentral's name for it is "T-box sequence". It matches the Rfam family "T-box leader". Rfam says of the family: Uncharged tRNA acts as the effector for transcription antitermination of genes in the T-box leader family. T-boxes are found upstream of many aminoacyl-tRNA synthetase genes and some amino acid biosynthetic genes usually in Gram-positive bacteria. Lineage: Bacteria; Bacillati; Bacillota; Clostridia; Lachnospirales; Lachnospiraceae. The record is from RNAcentral.
ACAAAGGCAUUGAUUGUGCAGAGUAGUCGCAUAGUUUCUCAACAGAGAAGGAAGUCACCGGCUGAAAGCUUCCAGGAGUUCAGGUAUGCGGACGAAUUUCACACAGGAGCCGCAUCUCUGAACACAGAGUAGAGAGUAGGAGAUGACGCAGACUGCACGUUACGCAGAAGAGAGUCUUGAUAAAGAGAAAUUUGGGUGGUACCGCGGAAUAGAACUUCGUCCCUUUU